CUCAGUCCUCACUCUCACUGGAACUCACCGGUCGUUGCUGGCUAAGUCUUGUUUACAACUCGCCGGUCGCUGCUGCUGCCAGUAGCACUGUUCAAAUAUAGUCUGGUAAGCCAAAGUGUUUGAUUAAACCCAUUUAUUAUGUUCAUUUGUCCCAUUCAAUGUUGGUAGAAAUGUAGUACUGAUUUUUUUUUUUCCAUUUACGUUGUUUAAGUAGUUGAGUUAAUAAUGAACAAACAAUGUCGUAAGAAAUGUAUUCCCAACUGUUGUGGUUAAGUUUCUUUUUUGUAUCCACUUAAUAAUUCUUGGGCACCCUUGGCGUAACCGGUAAAGUUGUCUCCAUGCGACGAGGAGGUCACGGGUUCAAGCCGUGGAAACAACCUCUUGCAAUGCAGGGUAAGGCUGCGUAUAGUAGACCCUUGUGGUCCGGCACUUCCAACUCCACGCAUAGCAGGAGCUUAGUGUACCGCCUGCCCUAAUAAUUCUGUUAGGGCAAAAAAUCUGUCAAAAUGUUAUUUUUUCCCUUGUUUUAAACUUGUCCUGUUUAAAUGAUCAAAUAUUCCCCACUCCAUUGUGUGCAGGGACUCUCUUAAUAGAUGGAAUCUUCAACCGGAAUAAAGGUGGAGAUGAUUGUCAACAAUCAUCCGGCUAUGCCGGUAGUACCUCAAAAGAAAGGUAAAAGCGCUCCUUAUACAGUCCCUCCUCUCAAAAAGCAAAAAAGAACUGGUAAUACUGGAAGAGAAACGUCUGAAAUUUGGGAUCACUUCACCAAAUUUAUUGAUAAAGG
Molecule: long non-coding RNA, 784 nt
Filed under: Nicotiana tabacum (common tobacco)
Lineage: Eukaryota; Viridiplantae; Streptophyta; Magnoliopsida; Solanales; Solanaceae
Description: long non-coding RNA (NTAB_LNC014674)
Source: RNAcentral